AUGGGGUUAUAUGGGGAUAUAUGGGGUUAUAUGGGGUUAUAUGGGGUUAUAUGGGGUUAUAUGGGGGUAUAUGGGGUUAUAUGGGGUUAUAUGGGGAUAUAUGGGGUUAUAUGGGGUUAUAUGGGGGAUAUAUGGGGAUAUAUGGGGUUCUAUGGGGUUCUGUGGGGUUCUAUGGGGUUCUAUGGGGAUAUAUGGGGUUCUAUGGGGGAUAUAUGGGGUUAUAUGGGAUUAUAUGGUGUUGUAUGGGGUUAUAUGGGGUUAUAUGGGAUAUAUGGGGGUUAUAUGGGGUUAUAUGGGGUUGUAUGGGGUUAUAUGGGGUUGUAUGGGGUUCUAUGGGGUUCUAUGGGGUUAUAUGGGGUUCUAUGGGGUUAUAUGGGGAUAUAUGGGGGGAUAUAUGGGGUUAUAUGGGGUUAUAUGGGGGAUAUAUGGGGUGAUAUGGGGUUCUAUGGGGUUAUAUGGGAUUAUAUGGGGUUAUAUGGGGUUGUAUGGGGGGAUAUGGGGCUAUAUGGGGUUAUAUGGGUGUUAUAUGGGGUUAUAUGGGGUUAUAUGGGAUAUAUGGGGUUAUAUGGGGUUAUAUGGGGGGAUAUGGGGGAUAUGGGGUUCUAUGGGGUUAUAUGGUGGUAUAUGGGGGGAUAUAGGGGAUUUAUGGGGUUCUAUGGGGUUCUAUGGGGUUCUAUGGGAUUAUAUGGGGUUAUGUGGGGUUAUGUGGGGUUAUAUGGGGUUAUAUGGGAUGUAAUGGGGUUCUAUGGGGUUCUAUGGGGUUCUAUGGGGUUAUAUGGGGGAUUUACGGGGUUAUAUGGGGUGGAUAUAGGGGUAUAUGGGGUUCUAUGGGGUGAUAUGGGGUUAUAUGGGGUUAUAUGGGGAUAUAUGGGGGGAUAUGGGGGUUAUAUGGGGUUAUAUGGGGUUAUAUGGGUGUUAUAUGGGGUUAUAUGGGGUUAUAUGGGGUUAUAUGGGGUUGUAUGGGUUAUAUGGGGUUAUAUGGGGUUAUAUGGGGUUAUAUGGGGGUAUAUGGGGUUAUAUGGGAUUUAA
Molecule: long non-coding RNA, 1029 nt
Filed under: Coturnix japonica (Japanese quail)
Lineage: Eukaryota; Metazoa; Chordata; Aves; Galliformes; Phasianidae
Description: lncRNA (ENSCJPG00005000993.1)
Source: RNAcentral